GGCGGCGUGCUUAACACAUGCAAGUCGAACGAGAAUCUGUGGAAAGAGGAUUCGUCCAAUUGAAGCAGAGGACAGUGGCGGACGGGUGAGUAACGCGUGAGGAACCUGCCUUUCAGAGGGGGGACAACAGUUGGAAACGACUGCUAAUACCGCAUAACAUAUAGAUGUCGCAUGGCAUUUAUAUCAAAGAUUUAUCGCUGAAAGAUGGCCUCGCGUCUGAUUAGCUAGUUGGUGAGGUAAACGGCCCCACCAAGGCGACGAUCAGUAGCCGGACUGAGAGGUUGAACGGCCACAUUGGGACUGAGAUACGGCCCAGACUCCUACGGGAGGCAGCAGUGGGGAAUAUUGGGCAAUGGGCGCAAGCCUGACCCAGCAACGCCGCGUGAAGGAAGAAGGCUUUCGGGUUGUAAACUUCUUUUGUCAGGGACGAGUAGAAGACGGUACCUGACGAAUAAGCCACGGCUAACUACGUG
RNAcentral lists this ribosomal RNA (473 nucleotides) under uncultured bacterium. RNAcentral's name for it is "bacterial SSU rRNA". It matches the Rfam family "Bacterial small subunit ribosomal RNA", at positions 38 to 507 of the family's 1533-position model. The record is from RNAcentral.